GCUGAUGCGUUGUUGGGUAGGGGAGCGUUCUGUAAGCCUGCGAAGGUGACCUGUGAGGGUUGCUGGAGGUAUCAGAAGUGCGAAUGCUGACAUAAGUAACGAUAAAGCGGGUGAAAAGCCCGCUCGCCGGAAGACCAAGGGUUCCUGUCCAACGUUAAUCGGGGCAGGGUGAGUCGACCCCUAAGGCGAGGCCGAAAGGCGUAGUCGAUGGGAAACGGGUUAAUAUUCCCGUACUUGGUGUUACUGCGAAGGGGGGACGGAGAAGGCUAUGUUGGCCGGGCGACGGUUGUCCCGGUUUAAGCGUGUAGGUGUGUGUUCCAGGUAAAUCCGGUUCACUUUAACACUGAGGCGUGAUGACGAGGCACUACGGUGCUGAAGCAACAAAUGCCCUGCUUCCAGGAAAAGCCUCUAAGCAUCAGGUAACAUCAAAUCGUACCCCAAACCGACACAGGUGGUCAGGUAGAGAAUACCAAGGCGCUUGAGAGAACUCGGGUGAAGGAACUAGGCAAAAUGGUGCCGUAACUUCGGGAGAAGGCACGCUGACACGUAGGUGAAGUGAUUUACUCAUGGAGCUGAAGUCAGUCGAAGAUACCAGCUGGCUGCAACUGUUUAUUAAAAACACAGCACUGUGCAAACACGAAAGUGGACGUAUACGGUGUGACGCCUGCCCGGUGCCGGAAGGUUAAUUGAUGGGGUCAGCGCAAGCGAAGCUCCUGAUCGAAGCCCCGGUAAACGGCGGCCGUAACUAUAACGGUCCUAAGGUAGCGAAAUUCCUUGUCGGGUAAGUUCCGACCUGCACGAAUGGCGUAAUGAUGGCCAGGCUGUCUCCACCCGAGACUCAGUGAAAUUGAACUCGCUGUGAAGAUGCAGUGUACCCGCGGCAAGACGGAAAGACCCCGUGAACCUUUACUAUAGCUUGACACUGAACAUUGAGCCUUGAUGUGUAGGAUAGGUGGGAGGCUUUGAAGUGUGGACGCCAGUCUGCAUGGAGCCGACCUUGAAAUACCACCCUUUAAUGUUUGAUGUUCUAACGUGGACCCGUAAUCCGGGUUGCGGACAGUGUCUGGUGGGUAGUUUGACUGGGGCGGUCUCCUCCUAAAGAGUAACGGAGGAGCACGAAGGUUGGCUAAUCCUGGUCGGACAUCAGGAGGUUAGUGCAAUGGCAUAAGCCAGCUUGACUGCGAGCGUGACGGCGCGAGCAGGUGCGAAAGCAGGUCAUAGUGAUCCGGUGGUUCUGAAUGGAAGGGCCAUCGCUCAACGGAUAAAAGGUACUCCGGGGAUAACAGGCUGAUACCGCCCAAGAGUUCAUAUCGACGGCGGUGUUUGGCACCUCGAUGUCGGCUCAUCACAUCCUGGGGCUGAAGUAGGUCCCAAGGGUAUGGCUGUUCGCCAUUUAAAGUGGUACGCGAGCUGGGUUUAGAACGUCGUGAGACAGUUCGGUCCCUAUCUGCCGUGGGCGCUGGAGAACUGAGGGGGGCUGCUCCUAGUACGAGAGGACCGGAGUGGACGCAUCACUGGUGUUCGGGUUGUCAUGCCAAUGGCACUGCCCGGUAGCUAAAUGCGGAAGAGAUAAGUGCUGAAAGCAUCUAAGCACGAAACUUGCCCCGAGAUGAGUUCUCCCUGAGACUUAGAGUCUCCUGAAGGAACGUUGAAGACGACGACGUUGAUAGGCCGGGUGUGUAAGCGCAGCGAUGCGUUGAGCUAACCGGUACUAAUGAACCGUGAGGCUUAACCUU
RNAcentral lists this ribosomal RNA (1736 nucleotides) under Salmonella enterica subsp. enterica serovar Typhimurium. Its description in RNAcentral is "partial 23S ribosomal RNA". It matches the Rfam family "Bacterial large subunit ribosomal RNA", at positions 1213 to 2925 of the family's 2925-position model. The record is from RNAcentral. Lineage: Bacteria; Pseudomonadati; Pseudomonadota; Gammaproteobacteria; Enterobacterales; Enterobacteriaceae.